RNAcentral lists this long non-coding RNA (1074 nucleotides) under Betta splendens (Siamese fighting fish). RNAcentral's name for it is "lncRNA (ENSBSLG00000023106.1)". Lineage: Eukaryota; Metazoa; Chordata; Actinopteri; Anabantiformes; Osphronemidae. The record is from RNAcentral.
AUGACCAAAACGGACCUUCUUUGUAGAAUCCAUCUUCAGAAUGUUGCCGAAGAUAGACGUGACCCUGGCCUUGGUCGCCUCCAGCCUAGACAGGGCGUCCCUGACAAAGACGGAGAGGAGCCAGCCCACGGUGGGCACCGGGUGCAGGGGUGGGACAGUCACCGGCUUGACUGCUGCACCCGCUACGCCCAGCUUCUUCAGCACCCCGAGGUACGUUGCAGUGCAGGACAUCCAGGUCUCUGUGUGGUCCUCCAUCAGCUGUUUGCGAAGGCGGGUCGCACUGUUGCCCAAAGUCCGCUGCCUCAUCUGCGAGAUCACCGACUUGUGGCAGGACAGCCUGAAAGGGAGCACAACAAGUCAACGGUUGAAAUCCUGACCCGACACGCCUCUUUACGUUUAUAUGUAGGCGUCUCACAGGCUCAGCACUUACUUGUAGGUGAGUACAGCCGGGAAUUGAUUCCGGUGACCCGGGUCCAACUGAUUGAUGAUGUCCGGGACCCAGGCGGCCAUCUUCUUCCCACAGGAACGACAUUCCAGGCACUCUGUGCCCAUAAAGUACCAGCCGUCCCUGUCCAGAACCCUGCGCACCGUCUUGUGCAGUCCUGCGCCGGUCAGCUUCGUGUCACAGCUGGGGCACACAAGCCUGCACGCCCACAUCUUGUAGGGCAGCCACAGGAAGAACGGCCUCUGGAAGAAGGCGUGGGACGAUGCAGGGGUCUGGGUGUAGAGGGGCCGGGCUCCGGGAGGGUACCACCAGAGGCGAAGGUCGGUGGUGAGGACACGCUGGCCCCUGGCGUUCCUGGUGAACAGAGCCCGGCCCACCCAGUCCUGCUGCUCCUCCGGCAGAGUCUGCCUCCAGCUGUGAGGCAGCAGCUUCAACACAGAAACAGACAAAAGGGUUUAGGACAGCCCUCAGCUGCGGCUGCAGCUCUGGUCCUGGGCCGCACGGCGACGCCGCUGUCACCACUGGAAGACAGGUCCAGGUCAUCGACUGGCACAGGAGUGGAGGCUGAAGAUGGGACCUCUGCAAAAAUAACUAAAAGUAAUCAGAGUCAUGCAAAUACUCAGACAUGA